CAGCAGCGGUACCCCCGGCAUGGGGCCCGCAGGCUCCCCCGUCCCACGGGGGUGUCCCCUUACCUGUGGCGGCGGCGCGGAGCGGGCGGCCCCGCAGCAGCGACUGCAGGCGGGCGGCGCGGCGGUGCAGGCGGGCGGCGCGACGGGCCAGCGCCCGCAGGUGGCCCUCGAUGUCCCCCAGGAGAGCGACCGAGUGGCCGCAGAGCUCGGCCAGCUGCCGCAGCAGGGCGAGAGCCGCCAGGCUGCAGGUGUCCCGCAGAUCGGUCAGCGGCCCCGCCGGCCGGACCCGCACUGCCACGCUCCGUCGGUAGAACGGCAUGGGGCGGAUUGGCUCGGGGCGGAUCGGCUCUGUUUCCCCCGGCCCGGUUGCCCCCCGGCCCGGUUCGGUUCAGCCCAGCCAGGCACUGUUCCCCCCGUCGAGCCCCGCGGCUGCGAGGGCUGUGGUCCGGCAGCAGCGCCGGGGCUCGGAGCCGGUCUGUGGGAGGAGGAGGAGGAGGAGGAAGGGGAGGGAGGGGCGGCCCCGCUCGGGGAUGCUCGGGCCGGCGGCGGGGCACGGCGGCACUCGGGAGGGAGAGAGCGGCCCCGGCGGGAGGAGCUGCGGAGACGCUGCGGGCUGGCUGGGGCCGGAGCCCUGGAGCUGGCGCUGCUCGGGCUGGGGCACAGGAAUCCCUCGGGGCCGGCCCUUCCCUCCCGAUGCCAUUCCGAAGGACACGGACACCCUCCGCUUCAUGAGGUGCCCUGA
RNAcentral lists this long non-coding RNA (742 nucleotides) under Corvus moneduloides (New Caledonian crow). RNAcentral describes it as "lncRNA (ENSCMUG00000005904.2)". Lineage: Eukaryota; Metazoa; Chordata; Aves; Passeriformes; Corvidae. The record is from RNAcentral.